Molecule: RNA transcript, 529 nt
Organism: Populus trichocarpa (black cottonwood)
Lineage: Eukaryota; Viridiplantae; Streptophyta; Magnoliopsida; Malpighiales; Salicaceae
Exons: 4
Source: RefSeq, a predicted model, not a curated record
UCUGAAGAAGCUCGUGCUAAAGCAGCCGAAGCUGCCCAGAAACGGCAAGAGCAAUUUGAAAAAUCUGCAGCAGGAAGAGCUGCACGGGCGCAGCUACAGGGGAUGGCAAAGCAAUCUGCAAAUUCUAACAAAGGCGAACCGGUUCUAAAGUGGCAGAUGAGUUGAAGCUAGAAUCUGUCCUUGGUACAGCUGCGGUUUUUUUCCGUAAUUCAUUUGAUAGAAUUCAACCACAUUCUCUGCCUUCCCAGUUUCUCACCUUCUGAAGGCGCUUUGUCAAUAACUUUGCAACAGAUGCUGCAUCCCAAAUGUCAAUAUUUAUCGCCAGUUUUUUUUUUUUUUUUACUGUUCUGAUGAUGACAUAUGUUGUACAGAAGUAAUGUGGAAUGGUCCGAUUAUACCAUGAUAGUAGAUCAUCCGUGAUGUUUAUGUUGUUAUAUCGGAUAACAAAAAAAUUUUUUCCCCUUUUCUGAAGAACAUAACAGUUAGUUGAGCUCUUAUUGGAGUAUAAUGGGUUUGUUUUUGCUUGAAA